This 22-nucleotide non-coding RNA is filed under the name Arabidopsis thaliana (thale cress). Lineage: Eukaryota; Viridiplantae; Streptophyta; Magnoliopsida; Brassicales; Brassicaceae. The record is from RNAcentral.
AUUGCCGCAUCCAUUGUGACAC